Molecule: long non-coding RNA, 1680 nt
Organism: Gossypium arboreum
Lineage: Eukaryota; Viridiplantae; Streptophyta; Magnoliopsida; Malvales; Malvaceae
Exons: 2
Source: RefSeq, a predicted model, not a curated record
GAAUCAAAGUUGUAUAAAAGGUGGCAUGACUGUAAAUUAAAAUAGACCUUUUUUUUCAAAUUAACAGAAGUUGUUUUCAGAUUACUUUUCCCCUUUUCUGUUUCACGCCCUAAUCAUUUUUGAGUCUCAAACUAAAUCCUGCAAAGAUCACCACCGAUUUGUCACGGCUCAACGGCAGCCACCGGUUGUCUCAAUUAGAGCCACUGGUGAUUGGCUUUCUUCGGCAGCUGCGUGUCUCUUCUUCAAUCUUUAUUCAGUAGUUUCUGUCGUGAGAACAUUUCUCUUCGUUCGUCGGCUUUUUCGCUUCUCUGCUGUUGGUCUUCUCUACUUGAGGGAGAAUGAUGAUUCCAUCAGAUUUCAAUGUUGAUUUCAACCAUCCAUUGUACUUGCAUCCAUCCAGUACUCCAGGUCUAAAUGAUACCUAUGGCGCUGUUAGGAGUCAAAUUUCGUUGAUGACCCUAUUGCCUACAGUCAAUCAGGCAUAUUCUAUGUUGGUACAGGAAGAGUCUCAAAGACUUCAUGCUUCAAGACCAGUAGCCUCGGAUCCAACGUCAGUGUAUUCAGCUAUAUGACUCACAAGAAACAGUUUAAUGGUGUUUGUGACCAUUGCAAAAUCAAGGGACACAAAAAUGAGAGCUGUUACAAACUAAUUGGGUAUCUUUCUGAUUUUAAGUUCUCUAGGAAGAAGGUAAAUAAUUCAGCUGGCUCUGUGAAUAGUGUGGUUACAGUUGAAUCUGUAGUUCAGGUUGUUGAAGUUGGUUCAUCUAGUGCUCUUCAAGUACAAGUACCGUAUUCACAUCAGCUCAAUAUCAACAACUAUUGAAUUUGUUGAGCAAAGACUCUUCGUCGGCACCUACUACGAGUUUGGCAGAAACUAGCUUGGCAGGUAUAGUCUUACCUUGUGAAUGGAUUCUGGACACUGGUGCCACAAGAAAUAUGCUGUCCAACUUUCACUGUUUGGAAUCAGCUGUUCCAUGUGUAUCUCUAUCUUAUGUUUGCUUACCUACUGGAUCAUCUUCGCUAAUAACACACAUUGGUUCUUGCACUGUUUCUCCUAGUAUUAAAUUAGCUAAUGUGUUGUAUAUACCAUACUUUCAUUACAAUUUACUUUCAAUUUCUAAACACACUAAAGACCUACAUUGUUCUAUUUCCUUUUAUCCUAAUUUUUGCAUAUUUCAAGACUUCUCAAGUGGCAAGAUGUUAGGGAUUGGUAAAGAACAAGUGGUCUGUACGUCCUUCGGCCUUCUCAACCUACUUUUUUGUCGAGUUCAGCAGUAACCAAGGGUAACAUUUCAUCUAACACAACUGCUACUACCGAUUUGUCCUUACUUUGGCAUUCCUGGCUUGGUCAUGCUUCUAUUUCGAGGAUAAGUAGAAUGCCUUUACAAUUAUGUAAUUUUUUGGAUAGUACUUCUAUACUUCAGUGUUCUGUUUGUCUUUUAGUUAAGCAAACUAGAUCGCCUUUCCAAUAAGCAAAACUUGGGCUGAGGCAGUUUUCUAUUCUUCAUUUAGACUUAUGGGGCCCAUAUAGGAUUUCAACCCGUAGUAAGCAUAGGUAUUUCUUGACCAUUGUGGAUGAUUUCUCCCGUAUGACUUGGGUGUAUCUUUUACAUUUGAAAAGUAAUGUUCUUGUACAAAUCAGACAAUUUUUUGUCAUAAUUAAAAAUCAAUUUUCAGCAA